Molecule: ribosomal RNA, 424 nt
Filed under: uncultured prokaryote
Description: bacterial SSU rRNA
Rfam family: Bacterial small subunit ribosomal RNA
Source: RNAcentral
UGGGGAAUCUUAGACAAUGGGGGAAACCCUGAUCUAGCCAUGCCGCGUGAGUGACGAAGGCCCUAGGGUCGUAAAGCUCUUUCGCCAGGGAAGAUAAUGACGGUACCUGGUAAAGAAACCCCGGCUAACUCCGUGCCAGCAGCCGCGGUAAUACGGAGGGGGUUAGCGUUGUUCGGAAUUACUGGGCGUAAAGCGCACGUAGGCGGACCAGUCAGUCAGAGGUGAAAGCCCGGGGCUCAACUCCGGAACUGCCUUUGAAACUAGAUGGCUAGAAUCCAGGAGAGGUGAGUGGAAUUCCGAGUGUAGAGGUGAAAUUCGUAGAUAUUCGGAAGAACACCAGUGGCGAAGGCGACUCACUGGACUGGUAUUGACGCUGAGGUGCGAAAGCGUGGGGAGCAAACAGGAUUAGAUACCCGCGUAGUCC